This is a long non-coding RNA of Equus quagga, 589 nucleotides long. RefSeq lists it as uncharacterized. The transcript has 3 exons. Lineage: Eukaryota; Metazoa; Chordata; Mammalia; Perissodactyla; Equidae. The record is from RefSeq and is a predicted model, not a curated record.
AGUGUAGUGAAAACUUGGACUUCAACCAUCACUGGCCCAUGGCAAGCUUUUGGGGACCAAUGGCCUGCAGAAUAAGAUCUUUGGGUCCUAAUGAGGAAUGUAAACCAGUCUGAUGAGGACCCACUCCUGAGAGCAGCCAGGCUGUACCUCCAUCUCUGGAACCGUGCCAGGAGGCUGUGUGCCUAAUCUGCUCAGAAAUCAUUCCUUUCUGUCUAUCACUGAAGCUUGAACACACUCCAGGAAUUAGGUACCUAGCACAGAUUACACGUCAACCUCGGUCGGUGUGCAUUCUACAAACCACACCUGGUAGGGAGUGGAUAUGGAAGAACACGCAAAUAAAAAAUUCAUGAAAGAUCUGGUUUAUUAAGAAACGUCUGUUUGAAACUUCCUGGCUCCAUCCAUGUAUUAGUAUCCUUGCAAAUAGUUUGUGCAGUUUUCAACGUAUUUUAGUAAAGUCCUGGAAGAGCAAAGGAACAAAGACCUGCAGGAUUCCUUCCGGGAGAGUAGCAGGCUGACUAGGACUGGACAGAGAAAUCACCCAGAGUGAUGAAUCAAUUUCUAACAGUGAUAGCAUUGGAGGAAGAGGCUU